UAGGGAAUCUUCGGCAAUGGACGAAAGUCUGACCGAGCAACGCCGCGUGAGUGAAGAAGGUUUUCGGAUCGUAAACCUCUGUUGUUAGAGAAGAACAAGGACGUUAGUAACUGAACGUCCCCUGACGGUAUCUAACCAGAAAGCCACGGCUAACUACGUGCCAGCAGCCGCGGUAAUACGUAGGUGGCAAGCGUUGUCCGGAUUUAUUGGGCGUAAAGCGAGCGCAGGCGGUUUCUUAAGUCUGAUGUGAAAGCCCCCGGCUCAACCGGGGAGGGUCAUUGGAAACUGGGAGACUUGAGUACAGAAGAGGAGAGUGGAAUUCCGUGUGUAGCAGUGAAAUGCGUAGAUAUAUGGAGGAACACCAGUGGCGAAGGCGGCUCUCUGGUCUGUAACUGACGCUGAGGCUCGAAAGCGUGGGGAGCAAACAGG
RNAcentral lists this ribosomal RNA (429 nucleotides) under Chloroflexota bacterium. Its description in RNAcentral is "Chloroflexi bacterium partial 16S ribosomal RNA". It matches the Rfam family "Bacterial small subunit ribosomal RNA", at positions 355 to 776 of the family's 1533-position model. Lineage: Bacteria; Bacillati; Chloroflexota. The record is from RNAcentral.